AUCGUGACCUGAGCCGAAGUCAGACGCUUAACCGACUGAGCCACCCAGGCGCCCCGAAGUUUUCCUUUUUUAAAUCUCCUGCUUGAUGAGUCACAAAAUGCCAUUGGCACUAUAUUACUAGUCACUCUAUAAAGCAGAUGCCAAGCACAGAUGGUGAAGAUGUUCCUGGCUUCCACCACUAUCUUGACAGUCCAAAUGCAGUCAGAGAUCACUGGAGAAGGGUAUAUGCCACACCUCCCAGCUGAGACAGCAAAACCUCCAGUCUCUUUCUAAAUGCUUUCUUCAGAACAUCAGUGAUUCAGGAACUGAAAUGAGCCCUACGUUAUAAUAUUUUGUCAAUAAAAAAGACUGGGUCAAAAUCACAUUACUGUUUGAAUGAAAGGAAAGAAGAUAUAAGGAACAAAAACAGAAGUGGAGAGCAGAUGACACAACAAUGAGGAAAAGUUUUUGUUAUAAGAUGAACACAAAGCAUAUAGAAACUUGAUGUUCUGGAGGAUUAUCAAACCCCAAAUGUGAUCUAAAACUGCAUUACAAAUAGAAGCUUUAACUGAAGUGUCAGACUCCUAUCUCUGAUUUGGAAAUCCCUUUGGCUCAUCGUGAAGGAGGAGAAUGAAUUAUUUUAACCACCACAUCAUAUAAAUCUAUUACCUGUAGACUAUGCACGGCUGGUAUAUACUUUCUGUUGAUUCUCACUCAGGAAUGAAUUGCUCUCCAACUCGCUUCUCACCUCAUUCACUGUCUGCUCAAAUGCCACAGCCUUCCUGGACUAUUCCUAUAAAAAUGGCCCCACCACCAUCAUUCUUCAUCUUCUUAUCCUGUCAUGUUACUUCCUAAAAUUAUAUUAUGUGUUGUUGUUGUUGUUGUUGUUGUUGUUAGCUUUCUGACUGGCAACUAGAAUGAAAGUUCCACAAUGGCAAGGAUUUCAUCCAUGUUCCUAUGUGCCAUAUCCCCAAAGAACAGUGCCUGGCUCACAGAAAAGAUUUUUUUUUAUUUUGUUAAAUUGAUGAAUAAAUGAUGCACAAUUGAUAAUAUUCCUCUCUAAAGAAUUUAAGAUCAAUUUUAUCCAAAAUCUUACAGCUAAAUAUUUAGGGAACUAUGAAUUAAUGGCACGGUAAUAAUUAGAAAGAGCUUGAGUCAAAAUAAAUGUUAACUGUAACCAUUAAAAUUUGGAAAUAAAAUGUUCACUUGUAAUUCAGUGUCACUACCUUCCCAUUUUUCUUUAAAUAGGAAU
Molecule: long non-coding RNA, 1231 nt
Organism: Felis catus (domestic cat)
Lineage: Eukaryota; Metazoa; Chordata; Mammalia; Carnivora; Felidae
Exons: 6
Source: RefSeq, a predicted model, not a curated record